ACUAGUUUCAAAAGUGAUCACUUGACAAAGGCACAAAGAGCAGCUGUAAAAGUAAAUCCUCCUUUGCAGCCCAGAACUCAGUGUUCAAUUGAGUUUUGGUACACAUAGGAAGGGACAUG
Molecule: small nucleolar RNA, 119 nt
Organism: Apodemus sylvaticus (European woodmouse)
Lineage: Eukaryota; Metazoa; Chordata; Mammalia; Rodentia; Muridae
Product: small nucleolar RNA SNORA40
Exons: 1
Source: RefSeq, a predicted model, not a curated record